RNAcentral lists this ribosomal RNA (611 nucleotides) under uncultured bacterium. RNAcentral's name for it is "bacterial SSU rRNA". It matches the Rfam family "Bacterial small subunit ribosomal RNA", at positions 331 to 933 of the family's 1533-position model. The record is from RNAcentral.
CCAGACUCCUACGGGAGGCAGCAGUGGGGAAUCUUCCGCAAUGGGCGCAAGCCUGACGGAGCAACGCCGCGUGAGUGAAGAAGGUCUUCGGAUCGUAAAGCUCUGUUGAUGGGGACGAACGUGCCUAAUGCGAAUAGUAUUAGGUAAUGACGGUACCCAUCGAGGAAGCCACGGCUAACUACGUGCCAGCAGCCGCGGUAAUACGUAGGUGGCGAGCGUUGUCCGGAAUCAUUGGGCGUAAAGGGAGCGCAGGCGGGCAUGUAAGUCUUUCUUAAAAGUGCGGGGCUCAACCCCGUGAUGGGAAAGAAACUAUGUGUCUUGAGUACAGGAGAGGAAAGCGGAAUUCCCAGUGUAGCGGUGAAAUGCGUAGAUAUUGGGAGGAACACCAGUGGCGAAGGCGGCUUUCUGGACUGCAACUGACGCUGAGGCUCGAAAGCCAGGGGAGCGAACGGGAUUAGAUACCCCGGUAGUCCUGGCCGUAAACGAUGGAUACUAGGUGUAGGAGGUAUCGACCCCUUCUGUGCCGGAGUUAACGCAAUAAGUAUCCCGCCUGGGGAGUACGGUCGCAAGACUGAAACUCAAAGGAAUUGACGGGGGCCCGCACAAGAAGG